AGUGAACGCUGGCGGUAGGCCUAACACAUGCAAGUCGAACGGCAGCACAGUAAGAGCUUGCUCUUACGGGUGGCGAGUGGCGGACGGGUGAGGAAUACAUCGGAAUCUACUUUUUCGUGGGGGAUAACGUAGGGAAACUUACGCUACUACCGCAUACGACCUACGGGUGAAAGCAGGGGAUCUUCGGACCUUGCGCGAUUGAAUGAGCCGAUGUCGGAUUAGCUAGUUGGCGGGGUAAAGGCCCACCAAGGCGACGAUCCGUAGCUGGUCUGAGAGGAUGAUCAGCCACACUGGAACUGAGACACGGUCCAGACUCCUACGGGAGGCAGCAGUGGGGAAUAUUGGACAAUGGGCGCAAGCCUGAUCCAGCCAUACCGCGUGGGUGAAGAAGGCCUUCGGGUCGUAAAGCCCUUUUGUUGGGAAAGAAAAGCAGCAGGUUAAUACCCCGCUGUUCUGACGGUACCCAAAGAAUAAGCACCGGCUAACUUCGUG
This 492-nucleotide ribosomal RNA is filed under the name uncultured bacterium. RNAcentral describes it as "partial 16S ribosomal RNA". It matches the Rfam family "Bacterial small subunit ribosomal RNA", at positions 29 to 507 of the family's 1533-position model. The record is from RNAcentral.